This 497-nucleotide ribosomal RNA is filed under the name uncultured bacterium. RNAcentral's name for it is "partial 16S ribosomal RNA". It matches the Rfam family "Bacterial small subunit ribosomal RNA", at positions 28 to 507 of the family's 1533-position model. The record is from RNAcentral.
GAUGAACGCUGGCGGCGUGCCUAAUACAUGCAAGUCGAGCGAACAGACGAGGAGCUUGCUCCUCUGACGUUAGCGGCGGACGGGUGAGUAACACGUGGAUAACCUACCUAUAAGACUGGGAUAAUCUCGGGAAACCGGAGCUAAUACCGGAUAAUAUAUUGAACCGCAUGGUUCAAUAGUGAAAGACGGCUUUGCUGUCACCUAUAGAUGGAUCCGCGCCGCAUUAGCUAGUUGGGAAGGUAACGGCUUACCAAGGCAACGAUGCGUAGCCGACCUGAGAGGGGGAUCGGCCACACUGGAACUGAGACACGGUCCAGACGCCUGCGGGAGGCAGCAGUAGGGAAUCGUCCGCAAUGGGCGAAAGCCUGGCGGAGCGACGCCGCGUGAGUGAUGAAGGUCUUCGGAGCGUAAAGCUCUGUUAUUAGGGAAGAACAAAUGUGUAAGUAACUAUGCACGUCUUGACGGUACCUAAUCAGAAAGCCACGGCUAACUACGUG